GUGCGUUUUGUCCAUUUCUUUGUUCAACACGCCAAGAAUCCGGACACCUUACACCAUUAGCACAUAUGCUAAAAUUGGAAUGAUACAGAGAAGGUUAACAUGCUCCUUGCACAAGGAUAACACGCAAAUUUGUGAAGUGUUUCAUUUAAAA
Small nuclear RNA from Colobus angolensis palliatus, 151 nucleotides. The record is from Ensembl. Lineage: Eukaryota; Metazoa; Chordata; Mammalia; Primates; Cercopithecidae.